UAGAACUGCUACCCAGUCAUUUUUUUUGUAGCACUUGUUAAUCGAUGACACUUGUACUCGUGACACCUCUCUGCUCAUUGCAUGUCUUCUCACUCUGUGUUGCUUGAGCACUCUCAUGGCCUCUUGUGUUCCCCUGCAACAAGCUGUGCCAUAUAGCUGGAUUCUCAAAUCCACCCUGUGUGAUCUGCCUGCUGGAGAGUCUGGAGCCAUGGAACAACAGAUCACCUGAGAAUAAACCCAAGCACCAAUAAAAUUUUGUGUUUACCCUGGAUGUCUUGAAAUACCAUGGCUCUCAGGAAUUACUUUGUUGUUUUAUUUAAAGGAUGAAUAGGAAUUACCUUCUGAAAGACAUACAAGUAUUUCUGUGCAUUUUGGAAUUUGGGGUGCUUGGAGAUCAGUCCUAUGUUGAUGAAGAGAUGCAUUCUUUCUGACAUAGCCACAUUUCUCACUUGACAAGAAGGCAUUGUUAAUAAGCCGUAUAUACGACUUGGAUAAGCAAGCCAUUCGCCUCCAGAACAGUCCUCUUCUACUUCAAUACCUCUGCCUGUUGGAUAGGCUUGACCUGAACAGUAGUCAGCAACAAAAAGGAAUCGUAUCAACUCAGGAUAAUCUCACUCAGGACAGCAGGAACCGUCCACUCCUACGUCGCUGUAGACAAUGGGAGACAGCAAAGAGGGAAAAGAUAGUGAAUGAAACAUCAGUUAAUGGAAAUAUUUCUUGCACUGGACAAGAAGGGCAACAGAUAUAAUUUAUCUGGACUUAUGCAAGGCCUUUGACAGAGACCAACACCAGUUUGUUAUCUCUCUAUAUUGGAGAGCUGUGGAUUUGAAGGCUGGGCUACUUGAUGGACAAAGAAUUUGUUGGAUGAUUGCAGUCAGAAGGAUGUAGCCAAUGGCUCUGUGUCCAAGUGGAGGAAGUUUCAGACAGCCACACAGAAUUUUACAAUUGCACCACGCAGACAGACUCUUGUUCAUCACUGGCAAAAGUAAUGUGACCUACAUCUGGGACCUACAGAAGACGGAUAACUACUGAGUUCAACAGCUUUGCAAGCUGUCUAGAUUAACCUCCGUGACAGCAAAGGUAUAACAAUUCUUUUUCCAUGCAACCAUCUUUUCCCUUCAGUCCCUAUUAAGGAUGUAGACAUUACAGUAGUGAUGGCUCACUUUGAGCUGGGACUUUCAUAGAAUCACAGAAUGGCUUAGGUUGGAGGGGACCCUAAAAAUCACCUAGUUCUACCCCCCUGCUAUGGGCAGUGUUUCUGUCCACUAGGUCAGGCUGCACAGGAUCCCAUCCAACCUAGGCUUGAGUGCCUCCAGAGAUGGAGCAUCCACAACCUCUCUGCGCAGGCUGUUCUAGUGCCUCACCACUCUCUAAGUAAAAAAUUUC
RNAcentral lists this long non-coding RNA (1386 nucleotides) under Gallus gallus (chicken). RNAcentral's name for it is "lncRNA (ENSGALG00010007225.1)". Lineage: Eukaryota; Metazoa; Chordata; Aves; Galliformes; Phasianidae. The record is from RNAcentral.